GAAGGGUGGCUGGUGCUGUUGAAGGUUGAUGGUCGGAGAGGUGUGGAAGGCACCAGAGACAGUCGAUCGCUGUAGAAGUCGGACGGCUGGAGCAUGUUCGUUGUAGAAGUUCGUCCGGAAUCCAAUCGCUGUAGAAGUUCGGAUGGAGUUCAGAAGGAGGCCGCAUACCUAAAAGCUCGGAUGGAGAUCGAUUAUCGUAGAAGUUCGGAGUAGAUCGCUUAUUGUAGAAGUCCCACUGUCGGAGAAGCUCGAUCCUUGAUGAAGUUCGAAAGAGGUUUGGAGUAGAGAUCUGGCUACUGGAGCCCAUUCGUUGUAGAAGUUUGGAAGGAAUUCACUUACAGUAGAGGUCUGGAGUAGACCGCUUGCAGUAGAAGUUUGGAGUAGACCGCUUGCAGUAGAAGUUCGGAGUAGAUUGCUUGUAGUAGAAGCUCAGAGUAGAGACCCGAUUGGUGGAGCCUAUCCCGUUGUAGAAGUUCGUCUGGAAUCCAUCCGCUAUGGAAGUUCGGACGGAGUUCGGUUCUUGUAAAAGUUCGGAUGCAGACCGCUUAUUGUAGAGGCUC
This 560-nucleotide long non-coding RNA is filed under the name Elaeis guineensis (African oil palm). Its description in RNAcentral is "long non-coding RNA (EGUI_LNC064967)". Lineage: Eukaryota; Viridiplantae; Streptophyta; Magnoliopsida; Arecales; Arecaceae. The record is from RNAcentral.